CGCAUGAGAGCCCUUGUCUCAUGCUACACGACUACUUCGGCGUCGUUUCAGUCAGCGGUUGGUUUCAGACUCGUACAGCUGACGCUAAGCUCGAAACUUCGUGGUGCAACCAAAAAAGGUAAACAUGGCAGUUCGAAAGAGCUUCGCUGCGCUAAUGAUGAUGGCGUCCUGUGGUGUGACCAUCGCAUACAACAGAGCAUGCGAUUUCGGCGGAUUGGACUUGGAUGGUGCUCUGGACAAAGUUUGGUCUGCUGCCCCGGUACCACAUGCCAAAUGAUCGAGGAUUUCGGAGCGCGUUCAGCGGUAUUGAAACCGGUACUCUCAAUAUCACCGGACUUGACAAGAUCCAGCGGUUUGGACCGAUCCAGCCUUAUUGUGUCAAUGGCACCCGGCUAAUCAGCGUGGAUCUCAUUGACCGAGGCGACGCCAUGCUGACCAUGCCCUGGAGGGCAUGCUCAGGACAAGAAGGAACGCUGAACUUCCGCACCGAACUUUCACGCUUCACGCUUAUUCUUCGAGUCGAAGCCGCCGGUCUGCACCAAGAAGCCACUCUCGCUUACAAAGGACCAAUUUUUCCUGUGAUCAUCCUAGAGCCGCAAAUUUACAUCGAUGGCGCCGGGAAUGUAUGGAGGGUAGCUUCCAUGAGCCUCAGCAAGCUUUUGCCGGCCCUCACAGAGAAAGUGUGGGUUGACUUCUUCCUCGCCUAUUUCCGUGGGGUCCUACGUUAUGCCUUGCGGGAUGCCUUCCAUUAACAGUAAUCUGCGCUUCGAAGGGUUCAUAACAUGCUUGAAUAACCUGGCCCUCACAACCAUCUCCAUAUUCGGCUAUUCAGUAAUAAAGCUUAAGCAACAGA
Rhipicephalus sanguineus (brown dog tick) is the source of this 853-nucleotide long non-coding RNA. RefSeq lists it as uncharacterized. The record is from RefSeq and is a predicted model, not a curated record. Lineage: Eukaryota; Metazoa; Arthropoda; Arachnida; Ixodida; Ixodidae. The transcript has 3 exons.